UAUGAGUUCCCCUAGCCUGCCUAUGGUCCCACAGUGGCUAGAAAUGGCGAUAGGUGUAAACCGAGCCCUGGGUAUCCUGCUUCUCCUUUGAGAAAAUGAAAGCUCAGACGGCCCAAUCUGGAAUCUUCCCUUUAUGUCGUCAUACAGGGAAAGGUUACCUCCCCUUUCUCUGCUUUGCCCACCCAUGAGAAAAUGAGCUACUACCGUGCGAGGCGAGCGCAAUAUUUUUUUUACCUUGAGAGACAUCAUGGCUUGCAAACGAGUGAAGCAUGGUAGUUGUUCAGUGUUUGGAUGUACAAAUGAACAUCUAAGUAUUUUUUUAGUUCCUUCAUCCGAGCCUAUGAAGAAACAGUGGGUUAAUUUGAUUUUUUCUGGUAAUGCGCCGACACAACUUACCCAAGUUUUGUAUGUCUGUGCCAAAUAUUUCACCAAUGACUGUUUCCUCAACUUGGGCCAAUACAGAGCUGGCCUUGCUGAACAUCUGAAAAUAAAGUCUGGAUCAGCACCAACUCUGCUUGGCUCAGCUACAAACCUCGGACAAGAAUUUCAAAGAAACUGGAAGCAAUCAGUAAGCAGAAAGACUGCGAGAAACUCAAAAAGUGGAUGAAAAGCAUCAACAACCACAUAUACUGGACUGCAGCUGGCUCAACCUCCGAGCCAGAGAGAAUUGCAAAGUGGACCGCGAUCCUGAACCAUGUUCAAGAUGUCCAUACACUGUGGGGGCCAGAAGGAAGCAUGGCCCCUCACAACCCGGCACAUGUCACCUUCAGCACCAUGGAGAGCACUGGCAAAGGAGGACACAAGGGCAAGGUACCCAGUAAUGUUCAGAACCAGGGAUAGCUCCUCCAACACAGGUGUGCACUGUUUCUCCGCUGAUAGCGAGCCUCAGCUGCAGGCGGUUGGGCCAGUUAGCAGACACAUAAGAGAACAAACAGGCCUCAGAAGAGAGAGAAGCAAGGGAGAUGUAAUUGGCUGCUACGAGGACAACUUGAGGAAGAAGAAUUAUCUGAGUUUGAGUUUUUUCCUAUUCCCUUUUCCCCCCACCUUUUGGAAGAAUAAAGAAAAUUGAGUUUUGCUUGACUGGAAUUCUGCCUGGUGACUUGUGUACUUUGAUCUCCUGAGCUAUUCCCUCCAAGACUUAUGGAGGAAGCUUACAACACAUGAGGAUCCUCUUUACCUCAAGUGCGAGCAUGCGAUCCGCAAGACAACUGUCAAGAGUAAAUGCCUCCAAGCAGAUACUCUAGCUUUCAACAAGUAGAAGAAGUCGCUGACAAACAAAAGAACGCUGAAGGAUGUUGCAAAACUGAGCCCCCACCACCAAACUUCAUCAUGGGAGGCUUUCCAUGCCGUCAUCCUUCGUUUUGCCCCAAAUAAUGUUGUCUUUCCCUUUAUUGGAAUGCUGUGCAGACUCUACCUGGCUGCUAUGCAUUAUAAUGAAAAUGCGGACUGACCACAGGCCGAAACGGAGGAUGGUGUACCUCAAAAUCUCAUUUCCAAAGGCUAGGAAGGGAGAGUGUAGAGUUAAACCUCAGAAGACAGCCGACCUCUGGUUAUGUUGACAUGACCGACCUAAUUUGAGAAAGUCUUUGUCAACCCUACGCCAUACACCGAUGCGCUGUUGGCCAUCCCUGUCCCAGAGGACCUAUCAGCGUAGUACGACAAGGAGGAGGUCAUUGCCAGCUUUGUGUCAAGGUUCAAACGGGGGGGCAGUUUAAACCCUACAUAGUGGCCUUCCUCAUCAGGAAACUCUGAGCGGAUGCGCAGGACCACAAAAGCUGGAAUAAUGACCCGGAUUCUGUGUCCCAGUGUUACGUGUUUGUCCCUUCUAGUUUCCUUUUUGCCCUUAUUUGGUUUUGUUCCAGUCUUUGUCAUUAGUUAAUCAUCGUUUAUUAUCCCCACCUGAUUUGCAUUUUAUUAUCUUGUUUGCUGCUUUGGUCCUUUUUCCUUUAAGUCCUCAGUUUUCUUUAGUCCUUUUCUGAGCUAAAUGUUGUAUAAAGGAAUAUGUGUUGAAGCUUAUUAAAAGAUGUCAGUUUCAUGACUCCUUCGUCAAGCCCUUUUAUCUACAACCACAACCGGUA
Onychostoma macrolepis is the source of this 2078-nucleotide long non-coding RNA. RefSeq lists it as uncharacterized. NCBI's taxonomy places the organism in Eukaryota, Metazoa, Chordata, Actinopteri, Cypriniformes, Cyprinidae. The record is from RefSeq and is a predicted model, not a curated record. The transcript is spliced from 6 exons.